This 455-nucleotide ribosomal RNA is filed under the name uncultured organism. Its description in RNAcentral is "partial 16S ribosomal RNA". It matches the Rfam family "Bacterial small subunit ribosomal RNA", at positions 330 to 801 of the family's 1533-position model. The record is from RNAcentral.
CGUACACUCCUGCGGGAGGCAGCAGUGGGGAAUAUUGGACAAUGGGCGCAAGCCUGAUCCAGCCAUGCCGCGUGAGUGAUGAAGGCCCUAGGGUUGUAAAGCUCUUUCACCGGUGAAGAUAAUGACGGUAACCGGAGAAGAAGCCCCGGCUAACUUCGUGCCAGCAGCCGCGGUAAUACGAAGGGGGCUAGCGUUGUUCGGAUUUACUGGGCGUAAAGCGCACGUAGGCGGACUAUUAAGUCAGGGGUGAAAUCCCGGGGCUCAACCCCGGAACUGCCUUUGAUACUGGUAGUCUUGAGUUCGAGAGAGGUGAGUGGAAUUCCGAGUGUAGAGGUGAAAUUCGUAGAUAUUCGGAGGAACACCAGUGGCGAAGGCGGCUCACUGGCUCGAUACUGACGCUGAGGUGCGAAAGCGUGGGGAGCAAACAGGAUUAGAAACCCCCGUAGUCCCAUGAU